This 1253-nucleotide ribosomal RNA is filed under the name uncultured fungus. RNAcentral's name for it is "eukaryotic LSU rRNA". The stretch from base 588 to 1253 matches the Rfam family "Eukaryotic large subunit ribosomal RNA", at positions 1 to 649 of the family's 3401-position model. The record is from RNAcentral. Lineage: Eukaryota; Fungi.
AAGUCGUAACAAGGUUUCCGUAGGUGAACCUGCGGAAGGAUCAUUAGUAUUGGAUAUACGUUCCAAACCCCCAUUGGUGUAUCUUACCUGUUGCUUCCGUGCUGCGCGGACUUUGGUCCCCUCUUCCGGUACUUCAGUAUUGUUCAGAGUGUCGGUACGGGAGGUAUACAUCAAACUCUUGCAUUUCAUGUCAUCUGUCUGAACUGUUUAUAAAAACAAGUUAAAACUUUCAACAACGGAUCUCUUGGUUCUCGCAUCGAUGAAGAACGCAGCGAAAUGCGAUAAGUAGUGUGAAUUGCAGAAUUCAGUGAAUCAUCGAAUCUUUGAACGCAUCUUGCGCUCCUUGGUAUUCCGAGGAGCAUGCCUGUUUGAGUGUCAUUUAAAUUCUCAACCACACCAGAUUUCUUUCUGAUGUGGCUUGGAUGUGGGGGUUUUGCUGGCUUUUUAUAUAUUGAAGUCGGCUCCCCUAAAAUGAAUUAGUAGUAUCUGAGCAGAGAAAGUACUACAGGUGUGAUAAAUUAUCUAUGCCUCUAGUAUGCUGCAUGAACAGAUUAUGCUGCUUCUAAAAAAUAUUUGAUUGAUGAAUUUGACCUCAAAUCAGGUAGGACUACCCGCUGAACUUAAGCAUAUCAAUAAGCGGAGGAAAAGAAACUAACAAGGAUUCCCCUAGUAACUGCGAGUGAAGCGGGAAAAGCUCAAAUUUGAAAUCUGGCAGUUCUUGACUGUCCGAGUUGUAAUCUAGAGAAGUGUUACCUGUGCUGGACCGUGUACAAGUCUCCUGGAAUGGAGCAUCAUAGAGGGUGAGAAUCCCGUCUUUGACAUGGACUACCUGUACAUUAUGGUGCGCUCUCGAAGAGUCGAGUUGUUUGGGAAUGCAGCUCAAAAUGGGUGGUAAAUUCCAUCUAAAGCUAAAUAUAGGCGAGAGACCGAUAGCGAACAAGUACCGUGAGGGAAAGAUGAAAAGCACUUUGGAAAGAGAGUUAAACAGUACGUGAAAUUGCUGAAAGGGAAACGCUUGAAGUCAGUCACGUCUGCCAGGACUCAGCCUUGCUUCUGCUUGGUGUACUUUCUGGUUUGAUGGGCCAACAUCAAUUUUGACCGUUGGAGAAAGGCCUUGGGAAUGUGGCACCUUCGGGUGUGUUAUAGCCCUUUGCUGUAUACGACGGUCGGGAUUGAGGACUGCAGCACGCCUCCAUGGCCGGGGUUCGCCCACGUACGUGCUUAGGAUGUUAGCAUAAUGGCUUUAAGCGACC